Molecule: long non-coding RNA, 439 nt
Organism: Saccostrea cuccullata (small rock oyster)
Lineage: Eukaryota; Metazoa; Mollusca; Bivalvia; Ostreida; Ostreidae
Exons: 4
Source: RefSeq, a predicted model, not a curated record
AUCUAGCAGCGCCAAUGAGUGCCAGCGUUGUGAGUGCAACAAUAAAGCGGACAGCUGCUCUUUUGAUCAGGAUCUUUACCAGAGAACAGGGAGAGGAGGUCGUUGUGUCGACUGUCGGGACAACACGGACGGUCCUCAAUGUGAGAGGUGCAAGGACAACCACUAUCUAAGGUCAUCAGAUGGAAGGUGCACACCGUGUGAUUGUAAUCCAGUUGGUUCUGAUACUCUUCAGUGUGAUGCUGCUGGGCAGUGCCAGUGUAAACCAGGUUAUACAGGAGAGAAAUGUACAAGAUCGACAUCGAGAAGCUGAUUACUUCAAAUGCCUGCCAGGGAUUUCAAACUUUCCCGGAGGAGGGAACCACAUACUUCUAUAAUUACUCAUUAAUGUAUGCUCAUUUGUUGGAAAUCAGAUAAAGAAUUAAAAUGAUUUAAUAUCAAG